CCUACGGGAGGCAGCAGUGGGGAAUAUUGCACAAUGGGGGAAACCCUGAUGCAGCGAUGCCGCGUGAGUGAAGAAGGAAUUCGGUAUGUAAAGCUCUAUCAGCAGGGAGGAAAACGACGGUACUUGAGUACGAGGCCCUGGCUAUUAACGUCCAAGCAGCCGCGGGAAUACGUAGGGGGAAAGCGUUUGCCGGAUUUCCUGGGUGUAAAGGGAGUGGGGACGGCAGGGCAAGUAUGGAGUGAAAGGCGGGGCUUCAACCCCCGGACUUCUCUGGAAACUGUACGGGUGGAGUGCAGGAGAGGUAGGUGGAAUUCCUAGUGUAGCGGUGAAAUGCGUAGAUAUUAGGAGGAACACCAGUGGCGAAGGCGGCUUACUGGACUGUAACUGACGUUGAGGCUCGAAAGCGUGGGGAGCAAACAGGAUUAGAUACCCGUGUAGUC
Molecule: ribosomal RNA, 440 nt
Filed under: uncultured bacterium
Lineage: Bacteria
Description: partial 16S ribosomal RNA
Rfam family: Bacterial small subunit ribosomal RNA
Source: RNAcentral